Molecule: long non-coding RNA, 7138 nt
Organism: Dendrobium catenatum
Lineage: Eukaryota; Viridiplantae; Streptophyta; Magnoliopsida; Asparagales; Orchidaceae
Exons: 2
Source: RefSeq, a predicted model, not a curated record
UCCUUCUAAUGAGGGCUCCUCCACCCUUGAUCUGUCAUGUGGGAGGCCCUGCAAGUAUUCACGAGUUAAAAAAUUAGGUAGGCUAUUGUUAGAACCUUUAAUAUAUUCGAUUUGAAAAUCAAAGAGAGAUAAUUGUGCUUGCCAAGUAGCAAAGAUUUGUUUGGAAGUUAGAUUUUUAACAUCCUUUUCUAAAAUAUAUUUUGCAGAACGGCAAUCAAUGCGUAACAAAAAUGAUUUACUUAGCAAGUCAUCUUGAAAUUUAAGAAUAGUUUUGACGAUUGCUAACAUUUCCAUUUUAAUUGUAGAAUAUUUACUUUGAGUAGGAUUCCAUAAUCCAGAGGCAAAAUAGACUAAUUGCUCUUUGGUAGAGAUUGGGUGGCGUUGUUUGAGUAUACCACCGUACCCUAAAUUUGAGGCGUCAGGUUCAAUGAUUUUAAAAUUUUUGAGAUUAGCUAGAUUGAUACAUGGUAAAUUUUUUACCCGUUGUUUAAUAAGCUGGAUUGCUUUCAUACAUUCGAGAGUCCAAGGUGGAGGAUUUUUUCUAAGUCUUUUAUAGAGUGGUGCAACAUCAAUAGCUAGAUUUUUUUAAAAUUUAGAUACAUAAUUAAGGGCUCCUAAAAAUCGUUGGAGCUUUUGUUUAUCUAAAAUUUGAUCAGGAAAUUUAUCAGCAAAUUCAAUGCUUCUAUUAAUUGGAGUAAUAGUAUUAUUACUAAUGAAAUGACCGAGAAAUCUAACUUCGAUUUGAAAUAGUUUCAUUUUGGGUUCAGAAAUAACGAACCCAUUUGUUUGAGCUAACCACUUAAAAGUUUUUAAGUGUUUAAAAUGUUCUUUUAUUAUUUUAGAAUAAAUAAGAACAUCUUCAAUAUAAACUAUAAUAUAUUGACUAUAUGGAUUGAAUAUUUCAUUCAUAAUUUUUUGAAAUUCGGAUGGGGCGUUCUUUAGACCGAAUGGCAUAACGUUCCAUUCAUAUUGGCCGAAUGGAACAAUGAAUGCUGUUUUGUAGCGAUCAUAAUCAGCUAUUUGGAUUUGCCAAAAGCCCGAUCUAAGAUCAAAUUUAGAGAAGAUUUAUGCUUUGAUUAAUCGAUUUAAUAAAUCUUAUUUAUUCGGAAUCGGAUAUCUUAUCCAUUUUAAAACCUUAUUAAGCGAUUUAUAAUUAAUAACUAAAUGAGGUUUUUCUCUUACUUUUUCUGCAGCAUUCAUAACAUAAAAUGUUGUACAGCUCCAUGGUGAGCUAGAAUUACGAAUUAAUUUUUUAUUUAGUUAUUCUGAAAUUUCAUUUUAACAUAAUUGAUGAUACGCUUUAUUCAUUUGGGAAGGCCUUGUCUUAGUAGGGAUAGUAUUUUCAUCGAAGUUCUCGAUAUAGGGAAGAGUAACACAAUGUGUUUUUCAAUUCCAAAAACUAAUAGGAUUUUCCCCGCAUAUAUGGGUUUUAAGUUCCUUUUCAAGUUGUGAAAUUUUUUGUUGAAUUAAUGGCUGUUGUAAUUUAACUGCUAAUUCUUUAGAUUUAAUUUCUUCAGAUAAGGAAUUAAUAUGUAAUUGUUUUCCUUUGAAUUUAUUUAUUUCAUUUAAAAUAAUUUCUGUUAUAAAUUGAAAUUUAAUAGGAGGAUCACAACAAUAUGAGGUGAUUCCCUCAUUAUCUAUUUUUAUAGGCAUAAUUUUAUAUAGGAACGGAGUUCCUAAAAUAAUAUGUUGAGAAAGAUUUUUAACUAAUAAAAAAGGAGUAUUGAUGCAGUAGUCUUACUAACAUACUGCUACUUGAGAUAGUUUGUAUUUGAUUUGCAUACUAUUUCCACUUGCUGAUGUUAACUACUGAGUGGUUUUUUUAAAGUAUUUUGAAGGGAUUAAUCCUUCUUGAAUGCAAUUCUUAUCUGCUCCACUAUCUACAAGAGCAGUUAGAUUGCUGAGAACCAUUGAUUUUUGUAUUACUAAAGUGAUGGUAAUGAACCAUUUAUGAAUUAUGGCCUUUUGUAAGGAGUUAAUGAGAGUGUUAUUUUUUAAUUUUGAGAUGUAGAUGGUUAUGCUGGAUCAGGUUGAUUUAGAAGUUGUUCUAAUUCGAGAUUAGUUAUCCUAGUGAAUAAUUUGUCUUGUUCAGAUUUUAUGAGAUGAAUUUUAGAUUUUAAUGUUUUUAAUUCUAAUUUUAAUUCAGCUAGAGUAGUUAGAGUAGAAGAUUCUUGUAUUUUGAAGUGAUCUAAGACUUCUCUCAUAGAGUAAUUAGGAAAUUUUUGAAUUUUUGAUAAAGGCGUUUCUUCAGAAUUUCCUAAUAGUUUAAUUAUUUGAUCUCUAGAUUUAGGAUCUUGUAUUGUUCCUAAUAGUUGAAUAAGCUGAUCUUUUUAUUCAUUAUUUAGAAUAAAUAAUCCUGAUUUUUCUACUAUAGCUUUAUAAUAAUCAUUACUAUUGCAAUUGUUGCAACAUAUAGAUUUUUCUGAAUCAGAAUUAUCAAGAUCUAUUUCAGUUUCAGAGUUGGAUUCAGACUCAGAUUGAUCUGAAUUAAGAAGUAUCUUCAUAAGAAGAUCUUUAGUGUUACUGUCAAGAUUUACCUCACUAAUUUUUUUCUUCAUAGGACAUUUGUUUGAAUAAUGUCCUAUUUUCCCACAUUUAAAACAUUUGAUUGUUUUAUCAUAAUAUUUUUCUCUCGGGGUUUGAUAAUGUUUUUCAUUAGUUUUCCUUUUAGGAAAUUGCUUCGGAUACUUCUUAUGAUGAGGCAUCUUUGUCUCUUUAUUAUGAGGUCGUCGUUUGGCCAAAUUUCGUUCUCUUCAGGUUAAUGGGCCUGGGCAUGCGAACUGUUCGUAGAAAGCCCCUAAUUAUUUUCGAUCCGCUAUUCUUUCUCGUUUUAGCUAUUGUUGCAUUCUAAUGUCAUUGCAUAAAGUAAUUCCAACUUUUAUGCAUUCACUAAUGAUACGUCGAACGUAUAUUGUUCAAAGAUUAAUUGCCCAUUGGUUUUUCAUAAUUUAUCUUUUACCUUAGUUGCAAAAGAUACAGGUAGUCCUUCUAGGAAUUUUUCUUUCCAAUAAUUUGAACUAGCGUCUGAUAAGUUCAUUACUCUAGUCAUAAAGACAUCCUUAUACCAUCUAAAAUGGGAUGAUACCAUCUAAAAUGGGAUAAAGAAGGACAUAUCAAUUUUUGUAGUAGAGAAUGCAUUUGCUCUCCGUUAUCAGUCAUAUAUCCUAGAAAAUGUUCUAAGAUAUUAUGGAUAAGCAUAUAGACAGCUUCAUCAUUUGUCUUUUCUGGAUCUAAAGGACUUUUCUCACUCUGCAGAUCAUUUUUCUCUGAUUUAUUUAGAUAAUUAUCCCACCAACCCUUUAAGAUUCCGGUGAAACCAUUGACUAUGAUUUGAACUACUUCCCAAGGUUUAUUUCCUUUGCUUUGGGCAACUAUCACACAUAUGAGCAUGCGAUGGAUAGUUUUAUGGAUUUGAUAGUCAGAGAGACAAUCAAAUUCCAUUCAUAUAACUGUCGAGAAUAAUAGGAUAUUUGUUCAUUAAGAUCUUCUUCGUAUAGAAGAUCUGAAGGAGUAGGUCUAUCAUAAUAAUAUUUUCCUAAUGAUUUUUUAGGAAAUUUUAAUUUAUUUAUAGUUAAAAGUUGAGAAUUCAAAUUAAAAAAUUGAAAUUGCUCUUCUAAUAGCUCAAUAUCAUAAUUACCUGAAGAAGAGUUUUCGGUUUCUUCCUCAAGGUCAUUAGAAGAUAACUCUUGGUCUAAAAUUGUAUUUUUUUUAGAUUUAAUUUGUUUUAUUACUUCCGAAAUAUUAAGAUCUUCAUCUAAUUUAAGUUUGAUGAGAGGUGGAAGUUUGAUAGAAGGUUUAGUAAUAUACAUGGAAGAACUUGCUGAAGAUUUUUCAGCUUGAUUUUGAUCUACUUUUUCUUUUAAUAGAUAUAAUUUUCUCUCAAUGUUUUCUAAGUGUUAUGUAAGAGUUUGCAACGUACUAUUGGUAAAAUUAAGUUGUUUAAUUAUUAAGGCAAAUUCUUUAAUUGCCUGACGAUCGGAAGAUAUGGAUCUAAAAGGAGUCAUUGCUAUUUCUGGUUUAGAAGAUAAAUUUGGCUGUCCUUUGAUCAUUCUAAUAUUAGAGAUUAUUUUAUUGGUAAACCAAUACACAAAUGGAACUGUUGCUUUUCCUUUGUUAUUUAGGUUUUCUAAAUCUAAAAAAUAUUAAUCUGAGAAAUUAAUUCGUUCUUCUUCUAAGAACAUUUUUCUAUACCAAGUUCGUAAUGAUUCAAAUUUUUGGUAACAUAUAGUGACGGAUUACCAUCUCUCUUAUGGCUGUAUUGGGCCCAUACAUCAUUUUAAAAUUACAUUUCAGAGGGAGUUGGGGAGUCCAUAUUUGAAUGUCCCCGUAUUGGAUGGAAUAUUCUAUUUUGAUUAAGAGUUAGUCCCGGGCUAGAGGCCAGUUCGGAUUUAUCAGAUUUUGAGGUUCUGAUCUCUUCCAAAGAAGAAGGAAUUGAUAUCCUAGGGAGAUGAAUUAAUCUUCUAGGAUUAAAUCUUACUUCAACAUCUCCGUCUGAAGUUUGCACUAUUUGGUCAAUAUCCUGGUUUAUGAUAGAUUGAGGUGUAAUAACCUAAGGUAAUGUCCAUUGUUCUAGAAAUGUUACUUCGUUCCAAUGGAUUACCCUAUUUGUAGCUAUAUUGGAAGCUAAGAGAUUAGUUUCUAUUAAGGUAGUUUGACUAUUUGGUUGGACUACCUUUCUUACUCUAGAACUUAGAGUAUUCAUGACCAUAAAAUGAGUUCGAUAGAUUAAGGCUAUUGUUUCUGAUCCAGGGAGAAAAUUAUAUCCAUGGAGUUGUAAAUGUAAUUUUAGUGCUUCCAAUAGAUGCACAUCCGUUAGUGAUAAGCUAAGAUUUGGGAAUGUGUUAAAGUAAACCGGUCCAUGGAGAGACUGGUUUCAUUAACUCUUAUGAGAGAUUGUGCCCAAUUUAGGCAUCUUCCAUCUCUUAAGCAUGUAAGGAUGGAAGCAUUAAGUCCUCUUAAAGUUAGAGGAUUAAAUGUGAUUUGAAUUAUUCCAUUAUGUAGAUAUUUGUAAUCUUGCAUAUAAGAUCUUAAAUCAUCAUAAGAUAACAUGAAAUUGUUUUCCUGUAGAAUCAAUUGUGAAAGAUUGUUCAACCAUCUUUAUGGUAGUUUUACCUUUGAAAUCAAAGGUUCCAAUUUGAUAGAUUAAUGUUUUAUCUAUCUUGGGGUAGUGACCACUUAUUUAGAUCAUCUUCAUUAAGAGGGUAUUUUAUUAAUUCGGCAUUUUUAAUGUCUCUAAAAGAGGGUACUUUCCUCUUUUAGAGAACAAAUGAAGAUGAAUAGGUAGAGGAAGACAUUAUGAUUAAAGGUGUUGAUAAGUUUGUCAUAUUUACUAAAAAUGAAAAAGGCAAUUAGAUUGAUCAUCUGAAAUAAAAUACUGUAGUUACAUAACAACUGCAUAAAUACAUGGACUAUCCCGGACUUACUACCCAGUCUCAACGGGUUUUACUGCCAAAGUCCAAUACAAAUAUGAAUAAGCAUAGUAACUACAUUAUUUUAGAUCAAGAGUGAAAACUCUAACAGAAGGACAGAAUUCCUGCCUUAGUCAUUUGUAGCAAUGGUGAGAAACUUAUCAACAAUAUAGAGUUAAGCCAACAUGGCUCUGAUACCAAAUUGCGGAUUAAUUUUUAAAGCAAGCAAACUACUCAGAAAUUAAUUAACAUAAAGACUAACAUAAUUAAACACUUACAAAAGAGUCUUCUGAAGACUCUUUUGUAAGUAUUUAAUUCUGUUAAUCUUCUGUUAUACUCAAACAAUGCCACCCAAUCUCUACCAAAGAGCAAUUAGUCCGUUUCACCUCCGGAUUAUGGAAUCCUACUCACGAAUCCUACUCAAAGUAAAUAUUCUACACUUAAAAAAGAAAUGUUAGCAAUCGUCAAAACUAUUCUUAAAUUUCAAGAUGACUUGCUAAAUAAAUCUUUUUUAUAACACAUUGAUUGCAGUUACGCAAAAUAUAUUUUAGAAAAGGAUGUUAAAAAUGUAGCUCCCAAACAAAUCAUUGCUACUUGGCAAGCACAAUUAUCUCUCUUUGAUUUUCAAAUAGAAUAUAUUAAAGGUUCUACCAAUAGCCUACCUGAUUUUUUAACUCGUGAAUACUUGCAAGGCCUCCCGCAUGAUAGAUCAGGGUUGGAGGACCCCUCAUCAGGAGUCAAUGACUCCUAGAGGGCGCGGAUGGCCUCGAGGUUCUACCCGAGGUCGUAAUAAUUCUACUCGUGGAUGAGGCACUAACCCUCAACAGCCACAAAUGAAAAUCCAAUUCCUGGUUGGUUUUUCAAGUGGUGGGAGCAGAAAGGUACUACCAUUUCCAUCCUUCUUCCCGAACUUAAACAGAAAUAUUCCGUGUGGGUAGACACCUCCCCUCAUAUGCAAAAUCUCAACUCUGACCAUAUCACCAAAGGCAUGACUGAAUUCUUUUUCUUUAUGCAAGGACAACUUCCAUGGAUUUGGACAUGGAACAUAGAAAUCAAUCAAGAUAGUUUUAUUAGUAUUAAAUGUCUGGUUCACAAUUUUUCCAUCAAAUGGUGGUUAGCUAUUUUGCUUGCAGAUAAGGUCAAGCAAAUUUACAAGGUUAUUCAGAACAAUCAAUUGAAGGCCCGGAGCUUGCUUACAAAUUAAGGUUUGUCUUCAAUAGGCAUAUAUACAACAACUAGCUGAAAUCUUUUCAAAAUUCAAUAAAGCUUCCCAAAAAUCAGAAGAUGUACCAAAAAACUAGGACCAGAUGAGCACCCAGUCUCGUGAAGGCAGACCCAGCACCAGCACUAGAAAGGGAAAAGCAAUUCUUGAGGAGGAUGAUGAUUUUACUAUUUGAUCAGUGGAUAUUGGACCCCACUAUCCUCAACAAUCGAUGGGCACAGCAGCACCAGCACCUUACCAGACAUCCACCAAACACAACACUAAACUAAAGUUUGUAUGAAAAGUCUUCUCCACUAACCAAUUAGUGAAAAAUUAAUGGAAAUGUAGCCUCCACUCAUCUAAAUAAUUGUCCUUUAAAAUCUUUUUCUUUAUUCGGAUGUAAAAUUAUAGUUUGAAGUCCGCUAGUUUAAAAGCCUAUAAAUGUAAGCCUCUUCGGCAGAACUUGUUAGAACUUGUAAGCAAAGUUUAAGUUUGCAAUAAAUCUCUUCUGAAGACUCUUUUGUAAGUA